AGCGAACGCUGGCGGCAGGCCUAACACAUGCAAGUCGAACGAUCCUUCGGGAUAGUGGCGGACGGGUGAGUAACACGUGGGAACGUGCCUUUUGGUUCGGAACAACUCAGGGAAACUUGAGCUAAUACCGGAUGUGCCCUUCGGGGGAAAGAUUUAUCGCCAUUAGAGCGGCCCGCGUCUGAUUAGCUAGUUGGUGGGGUAAAGGCCUACCAAGGCGACGAUCAGUAGCUGGUCUGAGAGGAUGAUCAGCCACAUUGGGACUGAGACACGGCCCAAACUCCUACGGGAGGCAGCAGUGGGGAAUCUUGCGCAAUGGGCGAAAGCCUGACGCAGCCAUGCCGCGUGAAUGAUGAAGGUCUUAGGAUUGUAAAAUUCUUUCACCGGGGACGAUAAUGGCGGUACCCGGAGAAGAAGCCCCGGCUAACUUCGUGCCAGCCGCCGCGGUAA
Molecule: ribosomal RNA, 447 nt
Filed under: uncultured bacterium
Lineage: Bacteria
Description: partial 16S ribosomal RNA
Rfam family: Bacterial small subunit ribosomal RNA
Source: RNAcentral